Molecule: ribosomal RNA, 301 nt
Filed under: uncultured bacterium
Lineage: Bacteria
Description: partial 16S ribosomal RNA
Rfam family: Bacterial small subunit ribosomal RNA
Source: RNAcentral
CAGCAGCCGCGGUAAGACAGAGGAUGCAAGCGUUAUCCGGAAUGAUUGGGCGUAAAGCGUCUGUAGGUGGCUUUUCAAGUCCGCCGUCAAAUCCCAGGGCUCAACCCUGGACAGGCGGUGGAAACUGCCAAGCUGGAGUACGGUAGGGGCAGAGGGAAUUUCCGGUGGAGCGGCGAAAUGCGUUGAGAUCGGAAAGAACACCAACGGCGAAAGCACUCUGCUGGGCCGACACUGACACUGAGAGACGAAAGCUAGGGGAGCAAAUGGGAUUAGAUACCCCCGUAGUCCCUGUCUCUUAUAC